CGGGUCUUUGCGGGCGAGGUGA
This 22-nucleotide microRNA is filed under the name Ornithorhynchus anatinus (platypus). Its description in RNAcentral is "Oan-Mir-193-P1b_5p (mature (guide))". The record is from RNAcentral. Lineage: Eukaryota; Metazoa; Chordata; Mammalia; Monotremata; Ornithorhynchidae.